RNAcentral lists this ribosomal RNA (287 nucleotides) under uncultured Acidobacteriota bacterium. Its description in RNAcentral is "uncultured Acidobacteria bacterium partial 16S ribosomal RNA". It matches the Rfam family "Bacterial small subunit ribosomal RNA", at positions 355 to 659 of the family's 1533-position model. Lineage: Bacteria; Pseudomonadati; Acidobacteriota. The record is from RNAcentral.
UGGGGAAUCUUGCACAAUGGAGGCAACUCUGAUGCAGCGACGCCGCGUGAGCGAUGAAGCCCUUCGGGUGUGAAAGCUCUUUCGACGGGAAAGAUUAUGACGGUACCCGGAGAAGAAGCUGCGGCUAACUACGUGCCAGCAGCCGCGGUAAUACGUAGGCAGCGAGCGUUGUUCGGAAUUACUGGGCGUAAAGAGUGUGUAGGCGGUCUGAAUAGUCUGCUGUGAAAGCGCCUGGCUUAACCGGGCGAGGUCGGCGGAAACUCUCAGACUGGAGGCCGGUAGAGGGG